GAUGAACGCUGGCGGCGUGCCUAAUACAUGCAAGUCGAGCGAACGGACGAGAAGCUUGCUUUUCUGAUGUUAGCGGCGGACGGGUGAGUAACACGUGGAUAACCUACCUAUAAGACUGGGAUAACUUCGGGAAACCGGAGCUAAUACCGGAUAAUAUUUUGAACCGCAUGGUUCAAAAGUGAAAGACGGUCUUGCUGUCACUUAUAGAUGGUUCCGCGCUGCAUUAGCUAGUUGGUAAGGUAACGGCUUACCAAGGCAACGAUGCAUAGCCGACCUGAGAGGGUGAUCGGCCACACUGGAACUGAGACACGGUCCAGACUCCUACGGGAGGCAGCAGUAGGGAAUCUUCCGCAAUGGGCGAAAGCCUGACGGAGCAACGCCGCGUGAGUGAUGAAGGUCUUCGGAUCGUAAAACUCUGUUAUUAGGGAAGAACAUAUGUGUAAGUAACUGUGCACAUCUUGACGGUACCUAAUGAGAAAGCCACGGCUAACUACGUG
This 497-nucleotide ribosomal RNA is filed under the name uncultured bacterium. Its description in RNAcentral is "partial 16S ribosomal RNA". It matches the Rfam family "Bacterial small subunit ribosomal RNA", at positions 28 to 507 of the family's 1533-position model. The record is from RNAcentral.